Molecule: ribosomal RNA, 500 nt
Filed under: uncultured bacterium
Lineage: Bacteria
Description: partial 16S ribosomal RNA
Rfam family: Bacterial small subunit ribosomal RNA
Source: RNAcentral
AUUGAACGCUGGCGGCAUGCCUUACACAUGCAAGUCGAACGGCAGCACGGGAGCAAUCCUGGUGGCGAGUGGCGAACGGGUGAGUAAAGUAUCGGAACGUACCUUUCAGUGGGGGAUAACGUAGCGAAAGUUACGCUAAUACCGCAUAUUCUGUGAGCAGGAAAGCAGGGGAUCGCAAGACCUUGCGCUGAUUGAGCGGCCGAUAUCAGAUUAGCUAGUUGGUGAGGUAAAGGCUCACCAAGGCGACGAUCUGUAGCGGGUCUGAGAGGAUGAUCCGCCACACUGGAACUGAGACACGGUCCAGACUCCUACGGGAGGCAGCAGUGGGGAAUUUUGGACAAUGGGCGCAAGCCUGAUCCAGCCAUGCCGCGUGAGUGAAGAAGGCCUUCGGGUUGUAAAGCUCUUUCGGUCGGGAAGAAAUCGCAUGGGUUAAUACCCUGUGCGGAUGACGGUACCGGCAUAAGAAGCACCGGCUAACUACGUGCCAGCCGCCGCGGUAA